GGUAGUCCUAGCCGUAAACGAUGCUCGCUAUGUGUCAGGGAUGGUGCGACCGUUCCUGGUGCCGGAGGGAAGCCGUGAAGCGAGCCACCUGGGAAGUACGGCCGCAAGGCUGAAACUUAAAGGAAUUGGCGGGGGAGCACUACAACGGGUGGAGCCUGCGGUUUAAUUGGACUCAACGCCGGAAAUCUCACCGGGGGCGACAGCAAUAUGUAGGUCAGGCUGAAGACCUUACCUGAAUCGCUGAGAGGAGGUGCAUGGCCGUCGUCAGUUCGUACUGUGAAGCAUCCUGUUAAGUCAGGCAACGAGCGAGACCCGUGCCCACUGUUGCCAGCAUGUUCUUCGGAAUGAUGGGUACUCUGUGGGGACCGCCGCUGCUAAAGCGGAGGAAGGUGCGGGCUACGGUAGGUCAGUAUGCCCCGAAUCUCCCGGGCUACACGCGGGCUACAAUGAGUGGGACAAUGGGAUCCUACCCCGAAAGGGGACGGUAAUCUCCUAAACCCACCCGUAGUUCAGAUUGAGGACUGUAACUCGUACUCAUGAAGCUGGAAUC
This 550-nucleotide ribosomal RNA is filed under the name anaerobic digester metagenome. Its description in RNAcentral is "bacterial SSU rRNA". It matches the Rfam family "Archaeal small subunit ribosomal RNA", at positions 740 to 1289 of the family's 1478-position model. The record is from RNAcentral.